CAGCUCAUAGCACAUUGAAAACACCGGUUCUCAUCUGAUUACCGAAGUUAAGCAAUGUCGGGCCCGGUCAGUACUUGGGAGGGUGACCACCUGGGAACACCGAGUGAUGUAUGCU
Non-coding RNA from Cordylochernes scorpioides, 115 nucleotides. The record is from the annotation of a GenBank genome assembly. NCBI's taxonomy places the organism in Eukaryota, Metazoa, Arthropoda, Arachnida, Pseudoscorpiones, Chernetidae.